UAGGGAAUCUUCGGCAAUGGGGGCAACCCUGACCGAGCAACGCCGCGUGAGUGAAGAAGGUUUUCGGAUCGUAAAGCUCUGUUGUAAGAGAAGAACGUGUGUGAGAGUGGAAAGUUCAUACAGUGACGGUAACUUACCAGAAAGGGACGGCUAACUACGUGCCAGCAGCCGCGGUAAUACGUAGGUCCCGAGCGUUGUCCGGAUUUAUUGGGCGUAAAGCGAGCGCAGGCGGUUUAAUAAGUCUGAAGUUAAAGGCAGUGGCUUAACCAUUGUUCGCUGUGGAGACUGUUAAACUUGAGUGCAGAAGGGGAGGGUGGAAUUCCAUGUGUAGCGGUGAAAUGCGUAGAUAUAUGAAGGAACACCAGUGGCGAAAGCGGCUCUCUGGUCUGUAACUGACGCUGAGGCUCGAAAGCGUAGGGAGCAAACAGG
Molecule: ribosomal RNA, 429 nt
Filed under: bacterium
Lineage: Bacteria
Description: partial 16S ribosomal RNA
Rfam family: Bacterial small subunit ribosomal RNA
Source: RNAcentral